Molecule: ribosomal RNA, 305 nt
Filed under: uncultured bacterium
Lineage: Bacteria
Description: bacterial SSU rRNA
Rfam family: Bacterial small subunit ribosomal RNA
Source: RNAcentral
UUCUCCUACGGGAGGCAGCAGUGGGGAAUAUUGCACAAUGGGGGAAACCCUGAUGCAGCAACGCCGCGUGAGUGAAGAAGUAUUUCGGUAUGUAAAGCUCUAUCAGCAGGGAAGAAGAUGACGGUACCUGAAUAAGAAGCCCCGGCUAGCUACAUGCCAGCAGCCGCGGUAAUACGUAGGAGGCAAGCGUUAUCCGGACUUACUGGGUGUAAAGGGAGCGCAGACGGCAGUGCAAGUCUGGAGUGAAAGCCCGGGGCCCAACCCCGGAACUGCUCUGGAAACUGUGCGGCUAGAGUACUGGAGGG